AUUGAACGCUGGCGGCAUGCCUUACACAUGCAAGUCGAACGGCAGCACGGGAGCUUGCUCCUGGUGGCGAGUGGCGAACGGGUGAGUAAUACAUCGGAACGUACCCUGAAGUGGGGGAUAACGUAGCGAAAGUUACGCUAAUACCGCAUAUUCUGUGAGCAGGAAAGAGGGGGAUCGCAAGACCUCUUGCUUUAGGAGCGGCCGAUGUCGGAUUAGCUAGUUGGUGAGGUAAAGGCUCACCAAGGCGACGAUCCGUAGCGGGGUCUGAGAGGAUGAUCCGCCACACUGGGACUGAGACACGGCCCAGACUCCUACGGGAGGCAGCAGUGGGGAAUUUUGGACAAUGGGCGCAAGGCCUGAUCCAGCCAUGCCGCGUGAGUGAAGAAGGCCUGGU
This 394-nucleotide ribosomal RNA is filed under the name uncultured bacterium. RNAcentral describes it as "bacterial SSU rRNA". It matches the Rfam family "Bacterial small subunit ribosomal RNA", at positions 30 to 420 of the family's 1533-position model. The record is from RNAcentral.